UCCGGUCCGGAGUUCUUUUCCCAGACCAUGGCAGGAACGGGGGAACCACGAACGGCUCGCAGGGCGCCGACACGGCGCUCAGCGGGUCUCUGGGGUGAAGCCUGUGAGAACAGGCCGGGCUUCUCCAGUCCGAACCCGACAGCUCACCUCGGCAGCUCAAUAAGGAGAGACA
This is a non-coding RNA of Actinomyces sp. oral taxon 448, 172 nucleotides long. Lineage: Bacteria; Bacillati; Actinomycetota; Actinomycetes; Actinomycetales; Actinomycetaceae. The record is from Rfam.